RNAcentral lists this unclassified non-coding RNA (276 nucleotides) under Hevea brasiliensis (rubber tree). The record is from RNAcentral. Lineage: Eukaryota; Viridiplantae; Streptophyta; Magnoliopsida; Malpighiales; Euphorbiaceae.
GAGAGAGAGAGAGAGAGGGAAGUGUCAGUGUGGGUUUUAGUGAUUUGGAUCUGCAAGUUUAGAUCUUACUAUCGGGAGGCAGAGGCUGAAGCCAAAGUGAAUCAACUAAAACAAGUGUAGACUCGUGAAGGUUCAUUUGCUGUGAUUAGUAAUUUUUGGGCUUCGAGAACUGCUAGUGAUAGUCUAGAAAAAUGAACAGCGUGUCUGUGAGAAAGUGGAAGCUUAUAGCCGUUGGGAUGUGUUGACUUGUGGAUUCAACACCGAUAGUGAAUUAAG